UUUCUUUUAGUAUAUUUUAAAGGUAGGGCCUGCUCCAUGAGUUUUAGAUAAAUAGCUGCAGUAUUUUAACUGCACAAAGGUAGCAUAAUUAAUUGUUUCUUAAAUGGUGACUGGUUUGAAAGGUUUAAUGAGAAUAGUUUCGGUUUAGACUUUUUAUUGAAAUUUCUGUCUUGAUCAAAAAGUCAAGAUUAAUAAGAAAGACGAGAAGACCCUGUUGAGCUUAACGGUAUAUUUAAAAAUAUUGAUAGAAUUUUCGUUUUGAUGGGGCAUUUGAUUUUUUUGCAUAAUUUUUCAGAUCCUAUUUUGAGGAAAAAGGAUUAAGUUACCACAGGGAUAACAGGACAACGCUUACUAUAAGCACUUAUUUAGGUAAGAAAUUGUUACCUCGAUGUUGAAUCAAAGUUUACUUAUGGGCGCAGUGGUUCAAAAAGUGGGUCUGUUCGACCUUUAAAACUUUAC
Molecule: ribosomal RNA, 459 nt
Filed under: Pericelis beyerleyana
Lineage: Eukaryota; Metazoa; Platyhelminthes; Polycladida; Pericelidae
Description: partial large subunit ribosomal RNA
Rfam family: Bacterial large subunit ribosomal RNA
Source: RNAcentral